RNAcentral lists this transfer RNA (72 nucleotides) under Marmota marmota marmota (Alpine marmot). It matches the Rfam family "tRNA". From Rfam's summary of the family: Transfer RNA (tRNA) molecules are approximately 80 nucleotides in length. Their secondary structure includes four short double-helical elements and three loops (D, anti-codon, and T loops). Further hydrogen bonds mediate the characteristic L-shaped molecular structure. tRNAs have two regions of fundamental functional importance: the anti-codon, which is responsible for specific mRNA codon recognition, and the 3' end, to which the tRNAs corresponding amino acid is attached (by aminoacyl-tRNA synthetases). tRNAs cope with the degeneracy of the genetic code in two manners: having more than one tRNA (with a specific anti-codon) for a particular amino acid; and 'wobble' base-pairing, i.e. permitting non-standard base-pairing at the 3rd anti-codon position. RNAcentral also lists the same sequence under 1 other name. The record is from Rfam by way of RNAcentral. Lineage: Eukaryota; Metazoa; Chordata; Mammalia; Rodentia; Sciuridae.
UAGGCUGUGGCUCAGUGGCAGAGUGCUUGCCUCGCAUGUGUGAGGCACUGGGUUUGAUUCUCAGCACCUUAU